RNAcentral lists this ribosomal RNA (345 nucleotides) under uncultured Enterobacter sp. RNAcentral describes it as "bacterial SSU rRNA". It matches the Rfam family "Bacterial small subunit ribosomal RNA", at positions 41 to 382 of the family's 1533-position model. The record is from RNAcentral. Lineage: Bacteria; Pseudomonadati; Pseudomonadota; Gammaproteobacteria; Enterobacterales; Enterobacteriaceae.
GGCAGGCCUAACACAUGCAAGUCGAGCGGCAGCGGAAAGUAGCUUGCUACUUUGCCGGCGAGCGGCGGACGGGUGAGUAAUGUCUGGGAAACUGCCUGAUGGAGGGGGAUAACUACUGGAAACGGUAGCUAAUACCGCAUAAUGUCGCAAGACCAAAGAGGGGGACCUUCGGGCCUCUUGCCAUCAGAUGUGCCCAGAUGGGAUUAGCUAGUAGGUGGGGUAACGGCUCACCUAGGCGACGAUCCCUAUCUGGUCUGAGAGGAUGACCAGCCACACUGGAACUGAGACACGGUCCAGACUCCUACGGGAGGCAGCAGUGGGGAAUAUUGCACAAUGGGCGCAAGC